Gasterosteus aculeatus aculeatus (three-spined stickleback) is the source of this 330-nucleotide long non-coding RNA. NCBI's taxonomy places the organism in Eukaryota, Metazoa, Chordata, Actinopteri, Perciformes, Gasterosteidae. The record is from Ensembl.
CAUCAUUUCCGGGUCGGGUGUCUGUCUGCACAGAGUGGCGACAGAGUGCUCCGUGCCCCGUCCCCCUUUUUGCUCUUGGGUCCUCUCAACCGGUGUUCCUGUCCUUGUCUUCCUUCUGAUCCGUCAUCCACUACACUUGCACUCAAUGACCUGCUCCUGGUUUAUCCCCCCUGCAAACCCCACAUAUAUACUUUUCGGUUUGGCUGCCAAUCUGGCGUUCGCGGCGCAUUCACAGUUGUGCAACAGGUAAUGUAGUGUGCUUAAUUGUUUGUUACCUAAAGGCCUUGGUUGUGUUGGGAUGGCCAUUACAGCGUGUAUAGUAUUUUGCAG